Molecule: small nuclear RNA, 118 nt
Organism: Anolis carolinensis (green anole)
Lineage: Eukaryota; Metazoa; Chordata; Lepidosauria; Squamata; Anolidae
Source: Ensembl
GUCCUUCUGAUGAAGGGGAUGGCGGCACAUAUACUAAAAUUGGAAUGAUACAGAGAAGAUUAGCAUGGCUCCUGUGCAAGGAUGACACGCAAAAAACCUACUGAUGCCUCAAAUAAUU